GUGCUCGCUUCGGCAGCCCAUAUACUAAAACUAGUACGAUACAGAGAAGAUCAGCAUGGCCCUUGUGCAAGGAUGACACGCAAAUUCGAGAAGCGUUCCAUAUUUUA
This is a small nuclear RNA of Mesocricetus auratus (golden hamster), 107 nucleotides long. The record is from Ensembl. NCBI's taxonomy places the organism in Eukaryota, Metazoa, Chordata, Mammalia, Rodentia, Cricetidae.